Molecule: ribosomal RNA, 243 nt
Filed under: uncultured bacterium
Lineage: Bacteria
Description: partial 16S ribosomal RNA
Rfam family: Bacterial small subunit ribosomal RNA
Source: RNAcentral
UUAGUGGCGAACGGGUGAGUAACACGUGGGCAAUCUGCCCUUCACUCUGGGACAAGCCCUGGAAACGGGGUCUAAUACCGGAUAACACUUCCUGCCGCAUGGUGGGGGGGUUAAAAGGCUCCGGCGGUGAAGGAUGAGCCCGCGGCCUAUCAGCUUGUUGGUGGGGUGAUGGCCUACCAAGGCGACGACGGGUAGCCGGCCUGAGAGGGCGACCGGCCACACUGGGACUGAGACACGGCCCAG